RNAcentral lists this ribosomal RNA (175 nucleotides) under uncultured bacterium. RNAcentral's name for it is "partial 16S ribosomal RNA". It matches the Rfam family "Bacterial small subunit ribosomal RNA", at positions 1326 to 1500 of the family's 1533-position model. The record is from RNAcentral.
CUGGAAUUGCUAGUAAUGGCAGGUCAGCAUACUGCCGUGAAUACGUUCCCGGGCCUUGUACACACCGCCCGUCACACCAUGAGAGUCGGGAACACCCGAAGUCCGUAGUCUAACCGCAAGGGGGGCGCGGCCGAAGGUGGGUCCGGUAAUUGGGGUGAAGUCGUAACAAGGUAAC